Molecule: ribosomal RNA, 325 nt
Filed under: Acinetobacter baumannii
Lineage: Bacteria; Pseudomonadati; Pseudomonadota; Gammaproteobacteria; Moraxellales; Moraxellaceae
Description: bacterial SSU rRNA
Rfam family: Bacterial small subunit ribosomal RNA
Source: RNAcentral
GCCAGCAGCCGCGGUAAUACGGAGGGUGCAAGCGUUAAUCGGAAUUACUGGGCGUAAAGCGCACGCAGGCGGUUUGUUAAGUCAGAUGUGAAAUCCCCGGGCUCAACCUGGGAACUGCAUCUGAUACUGGCAAGCUUGAGUCUCGUAGAGGGGGGUAGAAUUCCAGGUGUAGCGGUGAAAUGCGUAGAGAUCUGGAGGAAUACCGGUGGCGAAGGCGGCCCCCUGGACGAAGACUGACGCUCAGGUGCGAAAGCGUGGGGAGCAAAUAGGAUUAGAUACCCUGGUAGUCCACGCUGUAAACGAUGUCGACUUGGAGGUUGUGCCC